AUCAGGUGAGCCGGGACAGCCUUCUUCCUCCGCCCAGCCGCCACAGUGAUUGUCGUCAAGUCUGCCACAGGAGGAUAUUUUUUUGAGGUUAACCUGCUUUCUCCCUCGCAGGUCAAUUAUUACUGUUUGUAUAAACUUGUUAAAUCUUAGAAUUUCCGCAUGUGUUAGAAAUGUUUAUUUGAUUUGGGUCUGUAAACUAAAUUAUUAUUUUGGGACCUGUAAACUUAAUAUGCUUUGCAUGUUUGAUGGAUUGGAUGAGGGAGCUGAGCUCCCAUUUAUUAUUAUGUUGAUGAGUAUGUGGAGGGUGAGCUGAGCUCCCCAAUUGACUAUAUAUUGUGUUUACAGGUCGGGUGAGUCGAAAACUCCCCGUUGGUAA
Molecule: long non-coding RNA, 376 nt
Organism: Hevea brasiliensis (rubber tree)
Lineage: Eukaryota; Viridiplantae; Streptophyta; Magnoliopsida; Malpighiales; Euphorbiaceae
Exons: 2
Source: RefSeq, a predicted model, not a curated record